GGGUAGCUUUUGCUGCUCUGCAAAGAGGAAUGUUGCAUGAGAGCCUUUGGAGAGGGGAGAUGGCACAUUCUGUUUUGGGCGAGUUGAGUUGGAGGCAUUACAGGGAUGUCCGAAGAUGGAAAUCUUGAACGGGUAGUUCAGAAUGUGGGGCUGGAGUUGCAGUGAGAGGAAUGGAAUGGGAUGGAAACACAGUUCCUUGCAUUACCAGGAGCCAGGUGGUGGGCAAAGCCUGGGAGGACAUCAAGGAACAGUCCUCAACUUUUUGUGAGUCACACACUCUUCUGGAACCAAGAAGGAAGAGGAACACCUACAAGUGGGAACGGAGUUUGGGGGAUACUGACCAAGAGCUUCCAAGCCUGUCGCUGGGCCUCACACAUCAUACACCUGAGGCCGACGGAAGAGGGGCUGGACCUUAUGAAACACCAGCAAGACUGGGCGUGGCAGCUCAGGCCUGUAGCCAAGGCUGGAGGACUGCCUGAGGCCAGAAGUUCAAGACGAGCCUGGGCAGCAUAGCAAGACCUCCACUCUACAGAUAAAAAAAAAUGACCCCAUGUGAUGGCACCUGCCUGUGGUCCCAGCCACUCAAGAAGCCUGAGGUGGGAGGAUUGCUUGAGCCUGGGAGGUCAAGGCUGCAGUGAGCUGUGAUUGUGCCACUGUACUCCAGCCUGGGUGACAGAGUGAGACCCCCUUCUCAAAAACAAAAGAAACACUCGCAGCUAAAGCAGUUUCUCAACUUGUCCACUAUGACAAAUCACCUGAAGAGCUGAUGGAAAACACAGAUUCCCGGCACCCCCACCUACUCACUUGGAACGGGGAGAGCCCUGGAAAUUUCAUUGUUAACAGUGGGGCAGGAGAGGCAAAGAUCACAGGAGAAUCAGAGAGGGUGCAGGAAAGGAAGAUUCCAGAAAGGAACAGAGGGAAGCAGGCAGCGUCAGAUCCUUGGAGCCCAGACAGCAAAGGAGGCCAGCUGAUGUGGCAAUGGGGUCACCAUGGGUGACCUGAGUGGAGCUGCUUUGGUAGAGCCAUGAGCCAGACGGCCGAGGGUACUGGGAGGAUGAGCAGAUCGGGCAGAUACUCUGCAAGUCGGGAAAGCAGACAGGACGGGGCUGGAAAAGUGGGCAGGUGACGAAGACUGCUUCACAAGGACAGAAAGUCUCAAGACUGCCUGGAGUCACAUUAACCGAGGGAGAGGCAGGGGUGAGAGUGGGGUGGGAGGGUCCCGAGUCCUCUCCUCAGCCUGUGUGGCCACCUCGACUCACUGCAUCCCCACCAGGUGUCGGAGGCAGCCGUGCUUCCAACAUUUCACAGAGGGGAGACAGACACGGAGAUUAAGAACCACCCUGAUGUCCCACCAUAGAACACGCACAGAGAGCUGAGACCUCGUCUGGCCUAUUACCUGCUGCACUGCCAUAUCUGAAGACGCAAAACGGGGGCUGGCCGUAGUAUGCACACGCUGAAUGAAUGCCUGAGCUCAGAGAGGAACUGCUCAGAACACAACGACCUGGGCCACAGACCCCAGCCCCAUGGCCACUGUUAGGACUGAGAUUCAGCGCCUCACUCAGGCAUUUAAGGCCUUCCUGAUCUUCCCGAUCUUCCCUCCUGAGGCAUUCCAGAUGGAACUUCUCCCACAACCAAACCAGCACCCCACAAAGUAACCUGACCCAAACUCCCCUCUCCCUGGGGAAGCCUCACCCCAGCCCACUCCCCAUCAAUGUCCCACGAGACCCGUGAGACAUGAGCCCGCCGGCCUUCGAGCCUCCCCAACGCUCCAGGCCAGACUCCAGACCUGGCACAGGGCUUGUGCCGCUCGGCCCAGAACCCAUGGGCAGUAAAUAUUUGUUGAAUGA
Macaca mulatta (Rhesus monkey) is the source of this 1847-nucleotide non-coding RNA. The record is from RefSeq and is a predicted model, not a curated record. Lineage: Eukaryota; Metazoa; Chordata; Mammalia; Primates; Cercopithecidae.